GUGAGAUUGUCCAUGUUCUUGCUACUGGUUCCUCUGAAACAUCUUUCAUCACAAUGGUGUAAAGAGCAACAGCUGGAUAUAACAACAUACACUGAUGAUGACGAAGAAGAAAAUGAAGAUGAAGAUGGUGUGAUGGAGUUCCCUCCUGAGAAGGGAUGAACUGUUAGACAAGAGAGAAGUUGGAGUUACUGAAACUAAUAAUCAGAUGAGUGCUGGAACUGUGGUGACAUCAGGAGGAUUUUUAGCUGCUGUGAUUCUGCUGUGUAUCAUCACUGUGCUGUGUUACUGCAGACUGCAGCGUUAUUGUUGUGAGUGUGAUGUCUCAGAGUCGGUCGGUGUGCCGGUGUUGGACGCUCGUCCUCGUAUCCGCAGUGACGUGUGCAGUGUGGAAGAAGUCACCAGGACCCUGCUGCCAUUGACCUCUGACCCCAGUGCCACCCACAGCUACUGUCCCACCUGCUCGCCGUACUAUCGCCAUGACGACGUGUGUAAUCAAUGCAUGUGGCUCGCUGUUGCUCACCGAGAGCCGAGAGGCGUUACUGCACUCGGCACGGCAGCCAUGAUGAACUUCUACACCAACACACACGCCAUCAGCACGGAUGUCUGACCUCUGACCUCUGAAGUUCACAGAUAACAACAUUUCUGUUUCCUUCUCGAAUCUCUGUUUGUACAUAAAGUUAUCCGUUUUAUUUUGCCAAACCUUCACUUGAAAGAUUUCAAUUUUACUCAAGAGGAGGCUCCCUAAGUAGGGAGUGUUUUAGGAUUUUAGUGUUUAUAUCAGUUUACAACAAGGGG
Ictalurus punctatus (channel catfish) is the source of this 795-nucleotide long non-coding RNA. The record is from Ensembl. Lineage: Eukaryota; Metazoa; Chordata; Actinopteri; Siluriformes; Ictaluridae.